This is a non-coding RNA of Cinara cedri, 322 nucleotides long. The record is from the annotation of a GenBank genome assembly. Lineage: Eukaryota; Metazoa; Arthropoda; Insecta; Hemiptera; Aphididae.
UAGACAUUACAUAAAUAUUUUUAAAGGCUUAUGCGACGCGGAGUAUCCUCUAAACUCGAUAAAGUGCGUAUCUCAUGUUUCAAAAAUCACUUAGGAUGUUUUAUCGCUCGACGUUUUCGCUUUUAUUACUCGAUAAAGAGUAGUAUAUUAUUUUCGUAGGUACGCGUUAAGUAGCUUAUUAUGGCGGCCGUGUCAACAGUAACGGAUCGAAAAUACCUAACCAUUGAACUGCAUAUCCGAUAGUAUACUAUUAUAACAUUGUGUUUAUACUUUUUUUCUCUUCGCGGUUUAUUUAUUAGUUUAAAUUUAAAUUUGUAGUUUU